Molecule: non-coding RNA, 1166 nt
Organism: Peromyscus maniculatus bairdii (prairie deer mouse)
Lineage: Eukaryota; Metazoa; Chordata; Mammalia; Rodentia; Cricetidae
Source: RefSeq, a predicted model, not a curated record
CGAUGGUGAAUGUUGGAGUGAACACAUUUGGCCAUAUUGGACACUUGGUUACCAGGGCUGCCUUCGUAUCUGGCAAAGUGAACGCUGUUGCCAUCAAUGACCCCUUCAUUGACCUCAACUACAUGGUCUGCAUGUUCCAGUCUGGCUCUACCCAUGGCAAGUUCAAGGGCACAGUCAAGGCUGAGAACGGGAAGCUCAUCAUCAACAGGAAGGCCAUCACCAUCUUCCAGGAGGGAGAUCCCGCCAACAUCAAAUGGAGUGAGGCUGGUGCCGAGCAUGCUGUGGUGUCUACUGUGUCUUCACCACCAUGGAGAAGGCUGGGGCCCACUUGAAGGGUGGGGCCAAAAGGGUCAUCAUCUCCACCCCUUCUGCUAACACCGCCAUGUUUGAUAUGGGUGUGGACCGUGAGAAGUAUGACAUUCACUCAAGAUUGUCAGCAAUGCUUCCUGCACCACCAACUGCUUAGUCCCCUGGCCAAGGUCAUCCAUGACACAUCUUUGGCACUGUGGAAGGACUCAUGACCACAGUCCAUGCCAUCACUGCCACCCAGAAGACUGUGGAUGGCCUCUCUAGGAAGCUGUGGCAUGAUGGCCGUGGGGCUGCCCAGAACAUCAUCCCUGCAUCCACCGGUGCUGCCAAGACUGUGGGCAAGGUCAUCCCAGGGCUGAACGGGAAGCUCACGGGCAUGGCCUUCCGUGUUCCUACCUCCAAUGUGUCUGUCAUAGAUCUGACAUGCCGUCUGCAGAAACCUGCCAAGUAGAAUGACAUCAAGAAGGUGGUGAAGCAGGCAUCGGAGGGCCCACUAAAGGGCAUCCUGGGCUACACUGAGGACCAGGUUGUCCCCUGCGACUUUAACAGGGAUACCCACUCUUCCACCUUUGAUGCUGGGGCUGGCAUUGCUCUCAAUGACAACUUUGUGAAGCUCAUUUCCUGGUAUGACAAUGAAUACGGCUACAGCAACAGGGUGGUGGACCUCAUGGCCUCCGUGGCCUCCAAGGAGUAAGAAGCCUGCCCUGGACCACCCACCCCAGCAAGGACAGCAAGAGAGAGGCCCUCAUCUGCUGAGCAGUUCCUGUCCCAUCUCAGCCCCCAACACUGAGCAUCUCCCUCACAGUUUCCAUCCCAGACCCCCAGAAUAACAGGAGGGGCUUAGAGAGCCCUACUCU